CCUUGGUAGCGGCGAGUGAAGCGGCAAAAGCUCAAAUUUGAAAUCUGGCACCUUCGGUGUCCGAGUUGUAAUUUGAAGAUUGUAACCUUGGGGUUGGCUCUUGUCUAUGUUUCUUGGAACAGGACGUCACAGAGGGUGAGAAUCCCGUGCGAUGAGAUGCCCAAUCCUAUGUAAGGUGCUUUCGAAGAGUCGAGUUGUUUGGGAAUGCAGCUCUAAGUGGGUGGUAAAUUCCAUCUAAAGCUAAAUAUUGGCGAGAGACCGAUAGCGAACAAGUACAGUGAUGGAAAGAUGAAAAGAACUUUGAAAAGAGAGUGAAAAAGUACGUGAAAUUGUUGAAAGGGAAGGGUUUGAGAUCAGACUCGAUAUUUUGUGAGCCUUGCCUUCGUGGCGGGGUGACCCGCAGCUUAUCGGGCCAGCAUCGGUUUGGGCGGUAGGAUAAUGGCGUAGGAAUGUGACUUUGCUUCGGUGAAGUGUUAUAGCCUGCGUUGAUGCUGCCUGCCUAGACCGAGGACUGCGAUUUUAUCAAGGAUGCUGGCAUAAUGAUCCCAAACCGCCCGUCUUGAAACACGG
This 570-nucleotide ribosomal RNA is filed under the name Meyerozyma guilliermondii. RNAcentral describes it as "partial large subunit ribosomal RNA". It matches the Rfam family "Eukaryotic large subunit ribosomal RNA", at positions 78 to 664 of the family's 3401-position model. Lineage: Eukaryota; Fungi; Ascomycota; Pichiomycetes; Serinales; Debaryomycetaceae. The record is from RNAcentral.